This 274-nucleotide ribosomal RNA is filed under the name uncultured bacterium. RNAcentral's name for it is "partial 16S ribosomal RNA". It matches the Rfam family "Archaeal small subunit ribosomal RNA", at positions 473 to 747 of the family's 1478-position model. The record is from RNAcentral.
AAACCAGCACCUCAAGUGGUCAGGAUGAUUAUUGGGCCUAAAGCAUCCGUAGCCGGCUCUGUAAGUUUUCGGUUAAAUCUGUACGCUCAACGUACAGGCUGCUGGGCAUACUGCAGAGCUAGGGAGUGGGAGAGGUAGACGGUACUCGGGAGGAAGUGGUAAAAUGCUUUGAUCUCUCGAUGACCACCUGUGGCGAAGGCGGUCUACCAGAACACGUCCGACGGUGAGGGAUGAAAGCUGGGGGAGCAAACCGGAUUAGAAACCCCGGUAGUCC